RNAcentral lists this ribosomal RNA (330 nucleotides) under uncultured Clostridiaceae bacterium. RNAcentral's name for it is "partial 16S ribosomal RNA". Lineage: Bacteria; Bacillati; Bacillota; Clostridia; Eubacteriales; Clostridiaceae. The record is from RNAcentral.
GGAGUUUGGACCGUGUCUCAGUUCCAAUGUGGCCGAUUACCCUCUCAGGUCGGCUACUGAUCGUCGCUUUGGUAGGCCGUUACCCCUACCAACUGGCUAAUCAGACGCAGGUCCAUCCUUUGCCGAUAAAUCUUUGGCAGCCUCGCCAUGUGACCAGACUGCAUUAUGUGGUAUUAAUCCAGGUUUCCCUAGGCUAUCCCUCUGCAAAGGGCAGGUUACCUACGCGUUACUCACCCGUCCGCCGCUAUCCAUCUCUUAUUUCUGCCGAAAGCUUAUUUCCGAGAUUUCCCGCUCGACUUGCAUGUGUUAGGCACGCCGCCAGCGUUCAUC